GAUGAACGCUGGCGGCGUGCCUAAUACAUGCAAGUCGAGCGAACAGAUGAGAAGCUUGCUUCUCUGAUGUUAGCGGCGGACGGGUGAGUAACACGUGGGUAACCUACCUAUAAGACUGGGAUAACUCCGGGAAACCGGGGCUAAUACCGGAUAAUAUUUUGAACCGCAUGGUUCAAUAGUGAAAGACGGUUUCGGCUGUCACUUAUAGAUGGACCCGCGCCGUAUUAGCUAGUUGGUAAGGUGACGGCUUACCAAGGCGACGAUACGUAGCCGACCUGAGAGGGUGAUCGGCCAAACUGGAGCUGAGACACGGUCCAGACUCCUACGGGAGGCAGCAGUAGGGAAUCUUCCGCAAUGGGCGAAAGCCUGACGGAGCAACGCCGCGUGAGUGAUGAAGGUCUUCGGAUCGUAAAACUCUGUUGUUAGGGAAGAACAAAUUGGUUAGUAACUGAACAAGUCUUGACGGUACCUAACCAGAAAGCCACGGCUAACUACGUGCCAGCCGCCGCCGUAA
Molecule: ribosomal RNA, 514 nt
Filed under: uncultured bacterium
Lineage: Bacteria
Description: partial 16S ribosomal RNA
Rfam family: Bacterial small subunit ribosomal RNA
Source: RNAcentral